Molecule: ribosomal RNA, 434 nt
Filed under: uncultured bacterium
Lineage: Bacteria
Description: bacterial SSU rRNA
Rfam family: Bacterial small subunit ribosomal RNA
Source: RNAcentral
GUUUGAUCCUGGCUCAGAAUCAACGCUGGCGGCGUGCCUAACACAUGCAAGUCGAACGCGAAAGUUCCUUCGGGAAUGAUUAGAGUGGCGUCCGGGUGAGUAACACGUGGGUAAUCUACCUUCGGGUGGGGAAUAACAUCUCGAAAGAGAUGCUAAUACCGCAUAAUGCAGCGGCAUCUAAUGAUGAUUAGUUGUUAAAGCGGGGGAUCGCAAGACCUCGCGCCUGAAGAGGAGCCUGCGGCCGAUUAGCUAGUUGGUGAGGUAAUGGCUCACCAAGGCUUCGAUCGGUAGCUGGUCUGAGAGGACGGCCAGCCACACUGGCACUGACACACGGGCCAGACUCCUACGGGAGGCAGCAGUGGGGAAUUUUGGGCAAUGGGCGAAAGCCUGACCCAGCAACGCCGCGUGAGGGAGGAAAUCCUUCGGGAUGUAAA